CCGGCACGGGUGAGUAACACGUAUCCAACCUGCCGUCUACUCUUGGCCAGUCUUCUGAAGGAAGAUUAAUCCAGGAUGGCAUCAUGAGUUCACAUGUCCGCAUGAUUAAAGGUAUUUUCCGGUAGACGAUGGGGAUGCGUUCCAUUAGAUAGUAGGCGGGGUAACGGCCCACCUAGUCAACGAUGGAUAGGGGUUCUGAGAGGAAGGUCCCCCACAUUGGAACUGAGACACGGUCCAA
This 238-nucleotide ribosomal RNA is filed under the name uncultured bacterium. RNAcentral describes it as "partial 16S ribosomal RNA". It matches the Rfam family "Bacterial small subunit ribosomal RNA", at positions 100 to 334 of the family's 1533-position model. The record is from RNAcentral.